UUCUUAAUUUGCAGUGCGUUGAUCUCUCUCGGCCACCGUACACAGAUGAGCAGCAGGUCAGAGUCUGCUCCACGCCACAGUAAGAGAUGCAUUUGUGUAUGUUGUGAGUUCAGGACGGACAGUUCCAGGUGUUAAUGGGGACAGCAUGUGGAGGAACUUACUGCUCCUUCAGGAGGACAUGACAGCUCCUCGUCAACAACACUGCACCACCUGCACUCCCUGGUCAGCAUGUCAGGUCAUUUUCAACAGCACAACCAGUGUAACAUUGUAACUGCGUGUUGGUGUUUAUUGAGGCCUGUUGUUGUUGUUUUCCUACCGGAGCUGUCUCCAUCUUCGGACACGGAGGAGCUCACUGUGUCCUCCUCGUCCGUGCUGCUGCCGUCCUGCUCCGGGUAGUCCACCUCCAUCUCCUCGUGGUUACUUUCUUUCUUCUCCCGAAUGUGAACCGGCAUGGCGGCGGACAGAAGAGCCGGUGUUGACGGGCUGGCGCCGCUGUUCGUUGAUGUUAGCCCACGGUGAAAAAGAGAAAUAUGGCCCAGACAGCUAACCGGUUAGCUAGCCCGCAUCUACACCAGCUGGAAGUGCAAACAUGGCCACCGCCGACCAAUGAGAGGAGGCUUUACUGAGUUUGUCCAAUCAGAAGCUGAUAAGGGUCACUGGAGGGUUUCAGGGAUUUGUAGUUUGUUAAACUUUCAGCAAAACCCGACAGCUACUGUAUGAGCAGAUCUUGAUUGGGGAGCGGAUCAAAUACAUUUUCUUCACCUUCAUUAGCGUUGUUAGAUGGGGUAUUUCUCAACACUAUUAAUUCCUCAGAGAAUAAUUUAUGGAUUUUGAUAAUAAAAUCAAACAUGUAACUUAUAUCUAUGAAUGUGUGCAAUUGGAUGCUGAUCCAAAUAAAAAUCCCGGUGGUAUGCAGUCCACUGCCAUUCUAGUUAUGUUCCAUGUUUUUUCCCCUCUUGGUUGUUUGCAAUAAUCUAAUAUUGACUGCCAUUGUUUUUGAGAAACUCUUAUUCCUGUGGGACUCAAACAUUUUCAUUGCGUGUUGUCAGUGUCAGUCUCAGUGAGGCUACUUGGAGGCAGACAGGAGAACCCUUACAGAGAUUCUACCCAGCACAGCUG
Molecule: long non-coding RNA, 1119 nt
Organism: Hippoglossus stenolepis (Pacific halibut)
Lineage: Eukaryota; Metazoa; Chordata; Actinopteri; Pleuronectiformes; Pleuronectidae
Exons: 3
Source: RefSeq, a predicted model, not a curated record